Molecule: long non-coding RNA, 276 nt
Filed under: Gossypium barbadense (sea-island cotton)
Lineage: Eukaryota; Viridiplantae; Streptophyta; Magnoliopsida; Malvales; Malvaceae
Description: long non-coding RNA (GBAR_LNC007466)
Source: RNAcentral
GCAUACAUAAUGGUUUGUACCACUUUGAUCUUUGCAACUCCAGCUGAUUCAAGAAUGGUGAUUUUUCAGCCACGGUUUGUGCUGCUCAAUUGAAGUCCUCAGUUGAUAAUAGUUGUGUUUUUGGUUUUUGGCAUAAGAGACUUGGCCACCCUUGUAAUAAGACUAUUAUGGCAGUUCUUCAUAAGAAUAAUAUUGCUUUUAACACUUGUAAGUUGUCAUCAAUAUGUUUUACAUGUUAACUUGGCAAAUCCUAUAAGCUACCUUUUUCUCCUUCCA